CAAGUUUGUUGAGUUUAGUAAACUUCGGUGUAAUUAGAAUACCAAGGAAAAAAAUAACACUUAAAGAAUUAUUGCAGCUGUGGAAUAUUUCAGACAGUAUGCUACUGAGGGCAGCUAACAUAAGAGUUAUGAGUUAUAAGAUGUAAUCUAAGUCGUAACAUUGCUGUAUGGAGCUGCAGAUUUGGUUGCAGGUUAACAUAGCUGGACUGGCCAUCGGGCAUAUCCCCAGUGACUUAUUUUUUAUUUUUUUUGUAAUGGCAUGAACAAUGAGAGGUGGUGGAUUGGCCAGAUGCAGGUCGAUGUGUAGCAAUAACUCCGUUGUUUGGUGGUGGCUAUGACGGGGCUUCCACAGAGGCAACAGGUGGAUGAGGGAAGGGGAGGCAGGAGGAGAGCCCCGAAGCAGCCACCAGUCCGAGUGUCAGGUGAACUGAACUUCAGCUCACUCUAUGUUCAUGACAUAGCAUCACCUCCUGUCUAGAAGGUGCGGUGCUCUGAACGGAUAAUUGGAGGUGAGCUUCCCUCCCUCCAAGACAUCUACAGGAAGCGGUGCCUGAGGAAAGCGGGGAGGAUCAUCAAGGACUCCAGUCACCCCAGCCAUAAACUGUUCAGACUGCUUCCAUCAGGAAGGAGGUUCUGCAGCAUCCGGUCCCGAUCCAGCAGACUGAGAGACAGCUUCUUCCAUCAGGCCAUCAGACUGCUGAACACGUCAUAGACACCUCAGCUUCACUACUGGAACUUCAACAUUAUGCACUCCACACUGUAUAUAAAUGCCACUUGUUUUGCACAUAUUCAACUCUGUAUAUUUUAUAUAUUUUAUUAUUAUUAUUAUUAUUAUUUUAUUUUAUUUUUUUACUAUUUAAUUUGUAAAAAUGUGCAUACACACACACACACACACACACACGUAGGAAAAUAUUUAGUAUACACAUCCAGAAAUGCAUACACUAUUAUAUAUUGUACAUAUAUUUAUUAGUUUCAGGUUGGCCAUUCUUGUAUUUUGCUCGUUUGUGUUGUUGUGUUUGCACAUCUCUGUUGCUUGUGGGGCUCGCACACAAGAAUUUCACUCGCAUGUGCUGUGCCAGUGUGCCUGCACAUGUGAUGUGACAAUAAAAAGUGAUUUGAUUUGUGAUUUGAUUC
Long non-coding RNA from Astatotilapia calliptera (eastern happy), 1134 nucleotides. The record is from Ensembl. Lineage: Eukaryota; Metazoa; Chordata; Actinopteri; Cichliformes; Cichlidae.